UUGGUCAUUUAGAGGAAGUAAAAGUCGUAACAAGGUUUCCGUAAGUGAACCUGCGGAAGGAUCAUUAUCUAUUUUAACGGUGGUGGUUGCGGCCUCCGGGGGUUCUCCCCUGGGUGGUAGAGGUAACACUCGAACGCGCCACAUGCCUCAAUCCUUUUUUUACGAGCACCUUUCGUUCUCCUUCGGUGGGGUGACCUGCCGUUGGAACUCAUCAAAAACCUUUUUUUGCAUCUAGCAUUACCUGUUCUGAUACAAACAAUCGUUACAACUUUCAACAAUGGAUCUCUUGGCUCUGGCAUCGAUGAAGAACGCAGCGAAAUGCGAUAAGUAGUGUGAAUUGCAGAAUUCAGUGAAUCAUCGAAUCUUUGAACGCACAUUGCGCCCCUUGGUAUUCCAUGGGGCAUGCCUGUUCGAGCGUCAUUUCACCACUCAAGCCUCGCUUGGUAUUGGGCAACGCGGUCCGCCGCGUGCCUCAAAUCGACCGGCUGGGUCUUCUGUCCCCUAAGCGUUGUGGAAACUAUUCGCUAAAGGGUGCUCGGGAGGCUACGCCGUAAAACAACCCCAUUUCUAAGGUUGACCUCGGAUCAGGUAGGGAUACCCGCUGAACUUAAGCAUAUCAAUAAG
RNAcentral lists this ribosomal RNA (624 nucleotides) under uncultured fungus. RNAcentral describes it as "eukaryotic LSU rRNA". The stretch from base 267 to 420 matches the Rfam family "5.8S ribosomal RNA". The record is from RNAcentral. Lineage: Eukaryota; Fungi.